RNAcentral lists this unclassified non-coding RNA (1146 nucleotides) under Hevea brasiliensis (rubber tree). Lineage: Eukaryota; Viridiplantae; Streptophyta; Magnoliopsida; Malpighiales; Euphorbiaceae. The record is from RNAcentral.
CGUAGAAGCAACCCAAACCAACAUCCAAAUCUAUGGCUUCUAUUCAAUUUCUCAAGAACUAGCAAAGACUAAUUCUUUAUUUUUUGCAUAUAUAGUUACAAUAAAUUCCCCAAAUUUAACAACAAUCUUGUUCCACCAAUGGCCAAUUCUGUACUCUCUUCCAAUUUCUUGGGUUCCCAAAUCUUUGUUUCUCCUCCCACACCUAAAACCUCAAGGUAUUUCCAUCUUCACUCCAGAAGAAAGUAUAUAGUUCCUCAAUCAAUUCUCAGCAAAAAAUCCAAUUCAGAUAAUUUCAAGAAUGUUCCAUCUAAAGCUGCUAUAGCUGCUUUACUCUUCUCUUCAAUCACCCCACAAGCUUUUGCUCUUGAUAAUACAACCCCAGCAGCACCACCACAAGUGAUUGAAGCUGAAGCACCAAAACCUAGUGCCUCAAACUCAUUACCCUUUGCUCAAAAUAUCAUUUUGAAUGCUCCAAAGACUCAAGCGCAGCCUGCUUCUGACCUUCCUGAAGGUACUCAAUGGAGGUACAGUGAGUUCUUGAAUGCUGUGAAGAAGGGGAAAGUUGAAAGGGUUAGAUUUAGUAAAGACGGAAGUACCCUUCAGCUUACAGCUGUAGAUGGGCGUAGAGCUAAUGUAAUUGUGCCUAAUGACCCGGAUUUAAUCGAUAUUUUGGCGAUGAAUGGUGUGGAUAUAUCAGUUUCUGAAGGUGAAGGGGGUAAUGGGUUGUUUAGUGUUAUUGGGAACUUGUUGUUCCCUAUUAUUGCUUUUGCUGGGUUGUUUUUCCUUUUCAGGCGGUCUCAGGGCGGCCCAGGUGGGCCUGGAGGACUUGGCGGGCCGAUGGAUUUCGGCCGGUCUAAGUCCAAGUUUCAGGAGGUGCCUGAAACUGGAGUGACUUUUGCUGAUGUUGCUGGUGCUGAUCAAGCUAAAUUGGAGUUACAGGAAGUGGUUGAUUUCUUGAAAAAUCCUGAUAAGUAUACUGCUUUAGGUGCUAAGAUACCAAAAGGGUGUCUUUUAGUUGGUCCACCAGGUACUGGAAAGACCCUUUUAGCUAGAGCAGUAGCUGGUGAGGCUGGUGUGCCAUUUUUCUCUUGUGCAGCGUCAGAGUUUGUUGAGUUGUUUGUGGGUGUGGGAGCUUCUAGAGUUAGG